CAGAUUUUUGUGAAAGUCAAACUUUGCCAACUUUGACCAAGUGUAUAGAGAAAUCUGUCUACAUCUACAAUACCAAACAUGUACAUUCUGAAAAUAUAAUUCAUGAUGUAUCCAAUGAUGUGCAUUUGGUAUUCUAGAUGUAAAUACUUUUCUCUAUAAACAUGGUCAAAGUUUGUAAUGUUUGACUUUUGAAAAAAUCUA
This 201-nucleotide microRNA precursor is filed under the name Triticum aestivum (bread wheat). RNAcentral's name for it is "MIR1435 microRNA precursor family". It matches the Rfam family "MIR1435 microRNA precursor family". The record is from Rfam by way of RNAcentral. Lineage: Eukaryota; Viridiplantae; Streptophyta; Magnoliopsida; Poales; Poaceae.